RNAcentral lists this ribosomal RNA (440 nucleotides) under uncultured Exiguobacterium sp. RNAcentral describes it as "bacterial SSU rRNA". It matches the Rfam family "Bacterial small subunit ribosomal RNA", at positions 358 to 790 of the family's 1533-position model. Lineage: Bacteria; Bacillati; Bacillota; Bacilli; Caryophanales. The record is from RNAcentral.
GGAAUCUUCCACAAUGGACGAAAGUCUGAUGGAGCAACGCCGCGUGAGUGAUGAAGGUUUUCGGAUCGUAAAACUCUGUUGUAAGGGAAGAACAAGUACGAGAGGGAAUGCUCGUACCUUGACGGUACCUUGCGAGAAAGCCACGGCUAACUACGUGCCAGCAGCCGCGGUAAUACGUAGGUGGCAAGCGUUGUCCGGAAUUAUUGGGCGUAAAGCGCGCGCAGGCGGCCUUUUAAGUCUGAUGUGAAAGCCCCCGGCUCAACCGGGGAGGGUCAUUGGAAACUGGAAGGCUUGAGUACAGAAGAGAAGAGUGGAAUUCCAUGUGUAGCGGUGAAAUGCGUAGAGAUGUGGAGGAACACCAGUGGCGAAGGCGACUCUUUGGUCUGUAACUGACGCUGAGGCGCGAAAGCGUGGGGAGCAAACAGGAUUAGAUACCCCAG